This 465-nucleotide ribosomal RNA is filed under the name Vreelandella stevensii. Its description in RNAcentral is "partial 16S ribosomal RNA". It matches the Rfam family "Bacterial small subunit ribosomal RNA", at positions 338 to 795 of the family's 1533-position model. Lineage: Bacteria; Pseudomonadati; Pseudomonadota; Gammaproteobacteria; Oceanospirillales; Halomonadaceae. The record is from RNAcentral.
CCUACGGGGGGCUGCAGUGGGGAAUAUUGGACAAUGGGGGGAACCCUGAUCCAGCCAUGCCGCGUGUGUGAAGAAGGCCCUCGGGUUGUAAAGCACUUUCAGUGAGGAAGAACGCCUGGUGGUUAAUACCCAUCAGGAAAGACAUCACUCACAGAAGAAGCACCGGCUAACUCCGUGCCAGCAGCCGCGGUAAUACGGAGGGUGCGAGCGUUAAUCGGAAUUACUGAGCGUAAAGCGCGCGUAGGUGGCUUGAUAAGCCGGUUGUGAAAGCCCCGGGCUCAACCUGGGAACGGCAUCCGGAACUGUCAAGCUAGAGUGCAGGAGAGGAAGGUAGAAUUCCCGGUGUAGCGGUGAAAUGCGUAGAGAUCGGGAGGAAUACCAGUGGCGAAGGCGGCCUUCUGGACUGACACUGACACUGAGGUGCGAAAACGUGGGUAGCAAACAGGAUUAGAUACCCCAGUAGUC